CAGUAGCCGCGGGAAUACGAAGGGUGCAAGCGUUACUCGGAAUUACUGGGCGUAAAGCGUGCGUAGGUGGUGGUUUAAGUCCGUUGUGAAAGCCCUGGGCUCAACCUGGGAAUUGCAGUGGAUACUGGGUCACUAGAGUGUGGUAGAGGAUAGUGGAAUUUCCGGUGUAGCAGUGAAAUGCGUAAAGAUCGGAAGGAACAUCUGUGGCGAAGGCGACUAUCUGGGCCAACACUGACACUGAGGCACGAAAGCGUGGGGAGCAAACAGGAUUAGAUACCCGAGUAGUCCCUGUCUCUUAUAC
RNAcentral lists this ribosomal RNA (301 nucleotides) under uncultured bacterium. RNAcentral describes it as "partial 16S ribosomal RNA". It matches the Rfam family "Bacterial small subunit ribosomal RNA", at positions 509 to 807 of the family's 1533-position model. The record is from RNAcentral.